GACGAACGCUGGCGGCGUGCUUAACACAUGCAAGUCGAACGGAGCGAAUGAAAGCUUGCUUUUAUGAGCUUAGUGGCAAACGGGUGAGUAACACGUAGGCAACCUGCCGACAGGAUGGGGACAACAUUCCGAAAGGAAUGCUAAUACCGAAUGAAGUCAGAGAAGGGCAUCCUUUUCUGAUGAAAGAUGGCCUCUAUUUAUAAGCUAUCACCUGUCGAUGGGCCUGCGUCUGAUUAGCUGGUUGGUGAGGUAACGGCUCACCAAGGCGACGAUCAGUAGCCGGUCUGAGAGGAUGAACGGCCACAUUGGGACUGAGACACGGCCCAGACUCCUACGGGAGGCAGCAGUGGGGAAUCUUCCGCAAUGGGCGCAAGCCUGACGGAGCAACGCCGCGUGAGUGAAGAAGGUCUUCGGAUCGUAAAGCUCUGUUGACGGGGACGAACGUGCGGAGUGCGAAUAGCGCUUU
RNAcentral lists this ribosomal RNA (466 nucleotides) under Selenomonas sp. oral taxon 479. Its description in RNAcentral is "bacterial SSU rRNA". It matches the Rfam family "Bacterial small subunit ribosomal RNA", at positions 28 to 470 of the family's 1533-position model. The record is from RNAcentral. Lineage: Bacteria; Bacillati; Bacillota; Negativicutes; Selenomonadales; Selenomonadaceae.